This 1354-nucleotide ribosomal RNA is filed under the name Curtobacterium sp. RNAcentral describes it as "bacterial SSU rRNA". It matches the Rfam family "Bacterial small subunit ribosomal RNA", at positions 82 to 1440 of the family's 1533-position model. Lineage: Bacteria; Bacillati; Actinomycetota; Actinomycetes; Micrococcales; Microbacteriaceae. The record is from RNAcentral.
GCUGGGUGGAUUAGUGGCGAACGGGUGAGUAACACGUGAGUAACCUGCCCCUGACUCUGGGAUAAGCGUUGGAAACGACGUCUAAUACUGGAUAUGAUCACUGGCCGCAUGGUCUGGUGGUGGAAAGAUUUUUUGGUUGGGGAUGGACUCGCGGCCUAUCAGCUUGUUGGUGAGGUAAUGGCUCACCAAGGCGACGACGGGUAGCCGGCCUGAGAGGGUGACCGGCCACACUGGGACUGAGACACGGCCCAGACUCCUACGGGAGGCAGCAGUGGGGAAUAUUGCACAAUGGGCGCAAGCCUGAUGCAGCAACGCCGCGUGAGGGAUGACGGCCUUCGGGUUGUAAACCUCUUUUAGUAGGGAAGAAGCGAAAGUGACGGUACCUGCAGAAAAAGCACCCGGCUAACUACGUGCCAGCAGCCGCGGUAAAUACGUAGGGUGCAAGCGUUGUCCUGGAAUUAUUGGGCGUAAAGAGCUCGUAGGCGGUUUGUCGCGUCUGCUGUGAAAUCCCCGAGGCUCAACCUCGGGCUUGCAGUGGGUACGGGCAGACUAGAGUGCGGUAGGGGAGAUUGGAAUUCCUGGUGUAGCGGUGGAAUGCGCAGAUAUCAGGAGGAACACCGAUGGCGAAGGCAGAUCUCUGGGCCGUAACUGACGCUGAGGAGCGAAAGCGUGGGGAGCGAACAGGAUUAGAUACCCUGGUAGUCCACGCCGUAAACGUUGGGCGCUAGAUGUAGGGACCUUUCCACGGUUUCUGUGUCGUAGCUAACGCAUUAAGCGCCCCGCCUGGGGAGUACGGCCGCAAGGCUAAAACUCAAAGGAAUUGACGGGGGCCCGCACAAGCGGCGGAGCAUGCGGAUUAAUUCGAUGCAACGCGAAGAACCUUACCAAGGCUUGACAUACACCGGAAACGGCCAGAGAUGGUUGCCCCCUUGUGGUCGGUGUACAGGUGGUGCAUGGUUGUCGUCAGCUCGUGUCGUGAGAUGUUGGGUUAAGUCCCGCAACGAGCGCAACCCUCGUUCUAUGUUGCCAGCGCGUUAUGGCGGGGACUCAUAGGAGACUGCCGGGGUCAACUCGGAGGAAGGUGGGGAUGACGUCAAAUCAUCAUGCCCCUUAUGUCUUGGGCUUCACGCAUGCUACAAUGGCCGGUACAAAGGGCUGCGAUACCGUAAGGUGGAGCGAAUCCCAAAAAGCCGGUCUCAGUUCGGAUUGAGGUCUGCAACUCGACCUCAUGAAGUCGGAGUCGCUAGUAAUCGCAGAUCAGCAACGCUGCGGUGAAUACGUUCCCGGGCCUUUGUACACACCGCCCGUCAAGUCAUGAAAGUCGGUAAUCACCCGAAGUCCGGUGGCUCCAACC